Molecule: ribosomal RNA, 248 nt
Filed under: uncultured bacterium
Lineage: Bacteria
Description: partial 16S ribosomal RNA
Rfam family: Bacterial small subunit ribosomal RNA
Source: RNAcentral
AAUCAACGCUGGCGGCGUGCCUCAGACAUGCAAGUCGAACGAUUAAAGCUCUCUUCGGAGAGUGUAUAGAGUGGCGCACGGGUGAGUAACACGUAAGUAAUCUACCUUCGAGUGGGGAAUAACGUCCGGAAACGGACGCUAAUACCGCAUAAUGCAGCGGCAUCGCAAGAUGACAGUUGUUAAAGAUUUAUCGCUUGAAGAGGAGCUUGCGGCAGAUUAGCUAGUUGGUAAAGGUAAUGGCUUACCAA